This 496-nucleotide ribosomal RNA is filed under the name uncultured bacterium. RNAcentral describes it as "partial 16S ribosomal RNA". It matches the Rfam family "Bacterial small subunit ribosomal RNA", at positions 28 to 507 of the family's 1533-position model. The record is from RNAcentral.
GAUGAACGCUGGCGGCGUGCCUAUACAUGCAAGUCGAGCGAACAGACGAGGAGCUUGCUCCUCUGACGUUAGCGGCGGACGGGUGAGUAACACGUGGAUAACCUACCUAUAAGACUGGGAUAACUUCGGGAAACCGGAGCUAAUACCGGAUAAUAUAUUGAACCGCAUGGUUCAAUAGUGAAAGACGGUUUUGCUUUCACUUAUAGAUGGAUCCGCGCCGCAUUAGCUAGUUGGUAAGGUAACGGCUUACCAAGGCAACGAUGCGUAGCCGACCUGAGAGGGUGAUCGGCCACACUGGAACUGAGACACGGUCCAGACUCCUACGGGAGGCAGCAGUAGGGAAUCUUCCGCAAUGGGCGAAAGCCUGACGGAGCAACGCCGCGUGAGUGAUGAAGGUCUUCGGAUCGUAAAACUCUGUUAUUAGGGAAGAACAAAUGUGUAAGUAACUAUGCACGUCUUGACGGUACCUAAUCAGAAAGCCACGGCUAACUACGUG